This 204-nucleotide long non-coding RNA is filed under the name Elaeis guineensis (African oil palm). RNAcentral describes it as "long non-coding RNA (EGUI_LNC003218)". Lineage: Eukaryota; Viridiplantae; Streptophyta; Magnoliopsida; Arecales; Arecaceae. The record is from RNAcentral.
CUCUAGUCUCAGAGACACUCCAAUAUGGAAACUCACUCAAUCAGGGAUACACUCAGUUGAUUCUUUGUAUAAUUUCAUCAAUAAUGAUGGAUUGGUUUGCUCUUUCUACAAAGUAAUAUGGAAGCUACAAUUCCUAAUAAAGUCAAAAAGUGUUUUUGUGGUUGGUUGUCAAAAUCAAGAUUUACGGGAAUGCUAAUUUUGCCA